GGUAGUCUUGGGAAUUACAGAAAAGUGUAGUUUUGAAAUGAUCCUUGUGGAGAAAAGGAAAGGAAACUAGAGAAACAAAUAUUAUCUGGCAAUAUUGAGGUUUGGCUAGGGAUUGUAACCAUAAAUUUACAGUGGUGUCAUUUUCCAUAUAAUAUUCUUCUUUAUAAAGCUUUUCCAAGGAAUCAAAGAAUGUUGGCUAUAGCAGAUUCAUAAUGUUUAUUGCUAUUAUCAUAAAUUAUUUUUUAUUUUAAAAAGUUCUAGUCCUUUAGCCAGGUCUGUCGUCUUCAUAGAACAUUGUUCUGUUACCCAUAAAAGAUGCCAUUAAGAUUGUGGCCUGGGCCGGGCGCGGUGGCUCACGCCUGUAAUCCCAGCACUUUGGGAGGCUGAGGCAGGCGGAUCACGAGGUCAGGAGAUCAACACCAUCCUGGCUAACAUGGUGAAACCCCGUCUCUCCUAAAAAUACGAAAAAAAAAAAAAAAUUAGCUGGGCGUGGUGGCAGGCGCCUGUAGUCCCAGCUACUCAGGAGGCUGAGGCAGGAGAAUGGCGUGAACCCCGGAGACAGAGCUUGUAGUGAGCCAAGAUCGCGCCACUGCACUCCAGCCUGGGUGACAGAGCGAGACUACGUCUCAAAAAAAGAAAAAAAAAAGAUUGUGGUCUGAGCAUACUCCACACUUUGAACAUGUCUACAGAUCAUACUUAGGUAUUGUAAAAUACCUAAUUUGACAAAUGAGUUUUAGUAAUUUUAUAACUUGGCCAUAUUUUUUAAAAAUAUAUAGGAAGACUUUGUUUUAUAUCUUACAAAAAUUUUGUGUUAAAUAAAUAGAUUUAGACAUAGUUUUACUUCUUCAGGUUGCCAGUUGGGUUAAUUUAAAAACAUACUUGCAUAGAAGACUUGAAAGCAUUUGUAUUUGUUUUCUUUUUUAGGGGCAAAAAGGCCCCGAGUCACUUCAGGUGGUGUGUCAGAGUCUCCCAGUGGAUUUUCUAAGCACAUUCAAUCCAAUUUGGACUUCUCUCCAGUAAACAGUGCUUCUAGUGAAGAAAAUGUGAAGUACUCCAGUUCUCAGCCAGAACCCCGCACAGGUCUUUCCUUAUGGGAUACCAGCCCCUCAUACAUUGAUAAAUUGGUACAAGGGAUCAGCUUUUCCCAGCCCACAUGUCCUGAUCAUAUGCUUUUGAAUAGUCAGUUACUUGGCACCCCAGGAUCCUCACAGAACCCCUGGCAGCGGUUGGUCAAAAGAAUGACACGAUUCUUUACCAAAUUGGAUGCAGACAAAUCUUAUCAAUGCCUGAAAGAGACUUGUGAGAAGUUGGGCUAUCAAUGGAAGAAAAGUUGUAUGAAUCAGGUUACUGUAUCAACAACUGAUAGGAGAAACAAUAAACUCAUUUUCAAAGUGAAUUUGUUAGAAAUGGAUGAUAAAAUAUUGGUUGACUUCCGGCUUUCUAAGGGUGAUGGAUUGGAGUUCAAGAGACACUUCCUGAAGAUUAAAGGGAAGCUGAUUGAUAUUGUGAGCAGCCAGAAGGUUUGGCUUCCUGCCACAUGAUCGGACCAUUGGCUCUGGGGAAUCCUGGUGAAUAUAGUGCUGCUAUGUUGACAUUAUUCUUCCUAGAGAAGAUUAUCCUGUCCUGCAAACUGCAAACAGUAGUUCCUGAAGUGUUCACUUCCCUGUUUAUCCAAACAUCUUCCAAUUUAUUUUGUUUGUUCGGCAUACAAAUAAUACCUAUAUCUUAAUUGUAAGCAAAACUUUGGGGAAAGGAUGAAUAGAAUUCAUUUGAUUAUUUCUUCAUGUAUGUUUAGUAUCUGAAUUUG
Molecule: small RNA, 1807 nt
Filed under: Pan troglodytes (chimpanzee)
Lineage: Eukaryota; Metazoa; Chordata; Mammalia; Primates; Hominidae
Description: retained intron
Source: RNAcentral